ACAUCGCCAUAAGAGGGGCUUGCGUCUGAUUAGUUAGUUGGUGGGGUAAAUGCUUACCAAGACUAUGAUCAGUAGUUGGUCUGAGAGGACGAUCAGCCACACUGGGACUGAGACACGGCCCAGACUCCUACGGGAGGCAGCAGUGAGGAAUUUUCCGCAAUGGGCGAAAGCCUGACGGAGCAAUGUCGCGUGGAGGAAGAAGGCCCGUGGGUCGUAAACUCCUUUUGUCAAAGAAGAAAAUAUGACGGUAUUUGACGAAUAAGCAUCGGCUAACUCCGUGCCAGCAGCCGCGGUAAUACGGGGGAUGCAAGCGUUAUCCGGAAUUAUUGGGCGUAAAGGGUCCUGAGGUGGCUAGCCAAGUCUAUUGUGAAAUAUCAGGGCUUAACCCUGAACAUGCGGUGGAAACUAGAAAGCUUGAGU
Molecule: ribosomal RNA, 420 nt
Filed under: Chloroidium saccharophilum
Lineage: Eukaryota; Viridiplantae; Chlorophyta; Trebouxiophyceae; Watanabeales; Watanabeaceae
Description: partial 23S ribosomal RNA
Rfam family: Bacterial small subunit ribosomal RNA
Source: RNAcentral